UGUGCCUACGGGAGGCAGCAGUGAGGAAUAUUGGUCAAUGGGCGGGAGCCUGAACCAGCCAAGCCGCGUGAGGGGAGAAGGUACAGCGUAUCGUAAACCUCUUUUGUCAGGGAACAAAGGCGGGGACUAGUCCCCGGAUGAGGGUACCUGAAGAAAAAGCAUCGGCUAACUCCGUGCCAGCAGCCGCGGUAAUACGGAGGAUGCGAGCGUUAUCCGGAUUUAUUGGGUUUAAAGGGUGCACAGGCGGCCUGUUAAGUCAGCGGAAAAAGCCCGGGGCUCAACCCCGGCGAGCCGGUGAAGCUGGG
This 305-nucleotide ribosomal RNA is filed under the name uncultured bacterium. Its description in RNAcentral is "bacterial SSU rRNA". It matches the Rfam family "Bacterial small subunit ribosomal RNA", at positions 334 to 637 of the family's 1533-position model. The record is from RNAcentral.